Molecule: long non-coding RNA, 146 nt
Organism: Triticum aestivum (bread wheat)
Lineage: Eukaryota; Viridiplantae; Streptophyta; Magnoliopsida; Poales; Poaceae
Exons: 3
Source: RefSeq, a predicted model, not a curated record
UUGGCUGGCCCGCACCCGCGCGACCCACACCCGGCCAUCUGGGCGAGCGCCAUGCCCCGAUGAGUAGGAGGGCGUGGCGGCCGCUGCAAAACCCGGGGCGCGAGCCCGGGCGGAGCGGCCGUCGGUGCAGAUCUUGGUGGUAGUAG